AUUGAACGCUGGCGGCAGGCCUAACACAUGCAAGUCGAACGAAUGGCGGACGGGUGAGUAAUGUCUGGGAAACUGCCUGAUGGAGGGGUACAACUACUGGAAACGGUAGCUACUAACGCCUACCAUCGGAUGUGCCCAGAUGGGAUUAGGUAGUAGGUGGGGUAAAGGCUCACCUAGGCGACGAUCCCUAGCUGGUCUGAGAGGAUGACCAGCCACACUGGGACUGAGACACGGUCCAGACUCCUACGGGAGGCAGCAGUGGGGAAUAUUGGACAAUGGGCGAAAGCCUGAUGCAGCCAUGCCGCGUGUAGGAAGAAGGCCUUCGGGUUGUAAAGUACUUUCGGCGGGGAAGCGGUACCCGCAGAAUAAGCACCGGCUAACUCCGUGCCAGCAGCCGCGGUAAUAC
RNAcentral lists this ribosomal RNA (406 nucleotides) under uncultured bacterium. RNAcentral's name for it is "partial 16S ribosomal RNA". It matches the Rfam family "Bacterial small subunit ribosomal RNA", at positions 30 to 526 of the family's 1533-position model. The record is from RNAcentral.